CCCUGAUGGCGCAGUAAAUAAAUAUUUUCUGUCGCCACCAGAUGCUUUCUUAGCAGUUUUGCUUCAAACCCACGCCAGUGUUAUUUAUUCUAUAAUUCCUAUUAAUCGUGUCCAAGUGCAUAGAAAUAUAUCGUGAAAAUAACAGUGUUUUAUCAAAUUGUGCUACGAAUUUCAUUAAAACUCAUAUUUAAUACUGUCCCGAAUUCGGAGCAAUAUUGUUUAUCUUGAUUUUAGUUCCGGACAGCCGAAUGAUAAUAACCAGAACAAAGAAUCAGUGAUAAUAAUAAAACAACGAUAUUUGAAGAUAGAUGUGCCGUACAAAUCUUCGUAUCGCGCAGCAGUUCUUCGGUUCCAUGCAAGAGAAAAACCGCAUGCAGUAAGAACGUCGUCCUGUCGAACCAUGAGGACAAUAUAACCAACAUGGGCUCGAAACUGUCCAGAAAAUGAAUCAAAAUAUCGUUGCAGUUUUAUGAGUUCUGGCAGUGUUUCGAGUAAAAUUAUUGGAAAUCUUAAUUUUUUUUCUCGAUUCUAGAAGGUUUGCUUUAGUAAAAUGAGUUAUGCUGGAGUAUGACGAAUUAAAUAUUAAUUAAUGAGAAAUUAGUACAUGCCAAAAAUGCCUUAAGUGUCCGUAUUUCGAUGCAGUACGGUACAAUUGUGCUCCUUCCAAUUAGCCAAGAAACUAUGCCCAAGAGUGUGCAGUUGACCACUUGAACGCCUUGUUUUUGAGAAAGUAUGGGACAAUAUAGCAAUAAUAGCAAUUUGAUAAAGCCCAUUUGACCAUCAAAAGCCGAUAUACUAGACCUUUUUGAAGUGUGAAACAGACAAAAAAUCACUAAGACCGAGGCGAAAAACAGAAUAUUCCCUGGGAUAUGAUAGUUUCAAGGAGAAAAUGCCUUACAAAGAAAAAUGUAAAGUCUGCUCCCGAGCUACACGGUUUCUGCGUUCCCGAGGAAUCCGCGUAACUCAAAUAUCAGCUACUAUCUGUCAAAUUUAGAACACCGUGUACCUCCGAAUCCGCGUAAGUCGAGAACCGCGUAACUCGGGAACAGACUGUAUUUUACCUUAGGAUUCAUAUUUGAGAUUAUAUGCUUGCCAGAUCGAAGAUUAAAAAUACUUAAGUCGGUGUAAAUUGAAGGCGAAUAAUUACGAAAAAAGACAUGAGAUUAAAAAAACAAAAUUGUGGGCUGUUCUAAUUCAUGAAAUUACUACUACUUUAAUGUUGCAGCGUCAGCGUCAUCUCGAGAUAAUUAAAACCAAAAUUUUGAAAAAAAAUAUAAAGAAUUAUAAAUCAGGUACAGGUGUCCC
This is a long non-coding RNA of Anopheles merus, 1305 nucleotides long. RefSeq lists it as uncharacterized. The record is from RefSeq and is a predicted model, not a curated record. Lineage: Eukaryota; Metazoa; Arthropoda; Insecta; Diptera; Culicidae. The transcript is spliced from 3 exons.